CUUUUGCAAAAAUUAACAUGGUAGUCAUCAUUUGAGUUUAAUCAGGCAUCAUAACUUUUUAUUUAUUGAUAGACUAGUAAUUUUUACUAUAAAACAGACAGUUUAGCCAGUCUGCCCAACUUGGUCUUCAUUACCCAAUUGUUAAACAUCAGAUUUGAGUAUGUGGAUAAAAAUUAACAAAUGUGUGAAAUUUGUGGGCUAUCUUUAAAAGUUACAGUAUAUAAAUUAACUAUCACUAAUGUAAGUGAUAUUUUUCUGUUUGAAAUUAUUACUUCUGUUUACGGCAAAGUUUGGUGUAGUGUGCAGUAUUUAGUCCUAGACUGAAUUUAUUCUAAAUCAGAAAAUGAUUAAAAUAUGCACAACCAAAGCCAAUUUUUUCUUUUCUUUUUCAUUCAUUCAACAGCUAUUUAUUGAGCAUCAGCUCUGUACCAGGCACAUUACUAGCUGCUACACACUGUCUGAAUAUGACAUAUGGUUAAGUAACUUUACAAUGGUUAUCAAAUACUUUAAUGUAGGUAUUUCUUAAGUUGGAAUGGCACUCAUUAAGUUAGGAUGAUGCUUUCAUGUUAUUUUACUAUCGUGAUGGAAAUUCUACUCGUGCCGUAUGUAACUGGGUUGCUACAAAAAGGGCAGGGUGAAAUCUGAGGUUAAUCCCAGUUUAAAAACUGGAAGGAGAAGGGUAAGAUCUCUCCAUUAUAAAAUAGAUCACAUUAUGUUAUUUUUAUGCAUCAGUACAUUACAUAUAUCAGCUAGCCCUCAAAGAAACAUUUAGUGCUGGAGAUUUUACAAAGCUGACUUUUUACAACUUUGGAAAACUUUUGAGGGGAGUAGGUAAAAUUACAUGUCAACAUUCGCCUCUUACUCAAAACUUCAAAUAAAAUACACAUUUUCAAAAUGGAGCACCUUUUAUAUUUGAUAAUUAUUCAUUACAAACUUUAGAAUGCCAGUCCCAGAGGGGCUGUCUUUCUGUGGGUUAGCAAACGUUUAUCUUAUUUUUGGAGGAGUGAUUGUGGUUGCAGAGCAGGAAGUGACAAAACGCUGCCAGCAGUGAUUGCUACUUGAGGGAGUUUUUUAUGACUACCGUUUGUCCCAUGAGGUUAUGUAGAAUUUCUUUUAUCUUUGGGAAAGAUUGAGGAGAAGAUAGUAAAAGAAUUAGGAAUUUAAAAUUACAGGGAAAAAUAUGUAUGUGAAAAGCAAUAAAUAUUUUGUUCACUUUGCUAUCAAGAUGUUCACUAUCAGAUAUUUAUUAUACAGCAGCAAUUUAUAUUUUUAAUCAUUGCCCAUUAAUAGAUGCAGUAAAAUAUUUUUGAAUCAGACAUUUGGGGUUUGUAUGUGCAUUAAAAUUGUCUUUUGUACUGUAAGUUACUGUUUAAUUUGAAUAUUUUAUCAGAACUGUCUUCCUGUGCCUUUAUAAUAUAA
Molecule: long non-coding RNA, 1419 nt
Filed under: Equus asinus (donkey)
Lineage: Eukaryota; Metazoa; Chordata; Mammalia; Perissodactyla; Equidae
Description: lncRNA (ENSEASG00005024937.1)
Source: RNAcentral